CAGUCGCCACGGGAAUACCAGCACCUCGAGUGGUCAGGAGGUUUAUUGGGCCUAAAGCAUCCGUAGCCGGUUGCAUAAGUUUUCGGUUAAAUCUAUGCGCUUAACGUAUAGGCCGCCGAAAAUACUGUGCAGCUAGGGAGUGGGAGAGGUACACGGUACUCGAUAGGAAGGGGUAAAAUCCUUUGAUCUAUUGAUGACCACCUGUGGCGAAGGCGGUGUACCAGAACACGUUCGACGGUGAGGGAUGAAAGCUGGGGGAGCAAACCGGAUUAGAUACCCUGUAGUCCCUGUCUCUUAUACA
RNAcentral lists this ribosomal RNA (301 nucleotides) under uncultured bacterium. RNAcentral describes it as "partial 16S ribosomal RNA". It matches the Rfam family "Archaeal small subunit ribosomal RNA", at positions 459 to 761 of the family's 1478-position model. The record is from RNAcentral.